RNAcentral lists this non-coding RNA (153 nucleotides) under chicken gut metagenome. The record is from RNAcentral.
GGUGCAGUAUUGCUCAAAAAGGAAGCCGGUGCGAAUCCGGCGCAGUCCAAACUCUACUGUAUUUGACGACGAACAGAAGUUAUACCAUUGGGCUUUGGUCUGAGAAGGUUUCUGUGAGGUUGAGUCAUAAGUCAGGAUAUUUGCCGCAGGCGU